Small nuclear RNA from Dermacentor andersoni, 184 nucleotides. RefSeq annotates it as U2 spliceosomal RNA. The record is from RefSeq and is a predicted model, not a curated record. NCBI's taxonomy places the organism in Eukaryota, Metazoa, Arthropoda, Arachnida, Ixodida, Ixodidae.
AUGGCCGACUUGGGUCAAAGUGCAGUAUCUGUUCUUAUCAGCUUAAUAUCUGAUACCGGUUCUAUGCGGACCCAAGAUAUUAAACUUCUUUUUGCCACUUGGCGGAGGGCUUCAAGCCUGCUCCACCUCCGCCCCGGGUGUUGGCCCGGUAUUGCACUGCAGUAUCGGCCCACGGUUUUUGCUU